UACGUAGGGGGCAAGCGUUGUCCGGAAUCAUUGGGCGUAAAGAGCGUGUAGGCGGCCCGAUAAGUCCGCCGUGAAAGUCCAGGGCUCAACCCUGGAAUGCCGGUGGAAACUGUCGGGCUGGAGUCCGGAAGAGGCGAGUGGAAUUCCUGGUGUAGCGGUGAGAUGCGCAGAUAUCAGGAGGAACACCUAUUGCGAAGGCAGCUCGCUGGGACGUAACUGACGCUGAGACGCGAAAGCGUGGGGAGCAAACAGG
RNAcentral lists this ribosomal RNA (253 nucleotides) under uncultured bacterium. RNAcentral describes it as "partial 16S ribosomal RNA". It matches the Rfam family "Bacterial small subunit ribosomal RNA", at positions 524 to 776 of the family's 1533-position model. The record is from RNAcentral.